This 253-nucleotide ribosomal RNA is filed under the name uncultured bacterium. RNAcentral describes it as "partial 16S ribosomal RNA". It matches the Rfam family "Bacterial small subunit ribosomal RNA", at positions 524 to 776 of the family's 1533-position model. The record is from RNAcentral.
UACGUAGGGUGCAAGCGUUAUCCGGAAUUACUGGGCGUAAAGGGCGCGUAGGCGGUUGGAUAAGUCAGCUGUGAAAACCACGGGCUUAACUCGUGGCCUGCAGUUGAGACUGUCUGGCUUGAGUGUGGGAGAGGAGAGUGGAAUUCCUGGUGUAGCGGUGAAAUGCGUAGAUAUCAGGAGGAACACCGGUGGCGAAGGCGGCUCUCUGGACCACAACUGACGCUGAGGCGCGAAAGCUAGGGGAGCAAACAGG